UCAGAUCAAAUCAGCUCCGCUGCUUCACGCGCGAAUGUCCGGGGACAUGAUAGGAAUAGGAUGCACUGGGAUCUGUAGUUGUACAAUGUACAUCCGCAAAACCGAGCUGGAUGCUUCACCAGUCGGUCUGUCGGUGCUUCGAGUUUGUGCCGCGCAUGCUCUCAGUGCUCGUAGCGAUGGCGUAAUGGCGGUAUAUCUGGCCAGCUUGACUAGAUACAGCGGGGCUCAAAGGGUUAAUGGUGCUCCUUUGCUCUUUGUUGCAUCCGCUGACGUGAGUGCGGCGCAUUGAGACACGAGUUUUAAAAAUUAUCAUGUUAUAUUUAUUUUUAUGUGAUGGAAAGAGGAAAGGAAAAAGAUAAAAAUAGGUUAUAGAUUUAUAACCUAAUACAGCACAAGCUUUAGACACUAAGUGCGUAUGAGAGGUAGACUGUAUACUAAAGAUAU
Molecule: long non-coding RNA, 444 nt
Filed under: Oryza brachyantha (malo sina)
Lineage: Eukaryota; Viridiplantae; Streptophyta; Magnoliopsida; Poales; Poaceae
Description: long non-coding RNA (OBRA_LNC000257)
Source: RNAcentral